AAUAGGCUAGAUUAUUAUAUUAACUUUCUAAAAAUGAAGUCCAUUAAUUUCAUCAACCGCCCCAGUUAAAUUUUCCCUCCAUUUACUUCUAUUGUCGGAAAAUAAAGCUUCAAGGGGUCUUCUCGUCCUUCUACUGUAUCUCUUCUUUUUCAAAGAAAAAUUAAAUUAAACUAUUCAAAUUGAGACAAUAUUAAGUUCAUUAACCCUAUCAUUCCAUCUUACAAUUAAUAAGCUAAUUAUUAUGCUACCUUUGCAA
RNAcentral lists this ribosomal RNA (256 nucleotides) under Facetotecta sp. RNAcentral's name for it is "partial large subunit ribosomal RNA". The record is from RNAcentral. Lineage: Eukaryota; Metazoa; Arthropoda; Thecostraca.